RNAcentral lists this ribosomal RNA (476 nucleotides) under Brachymonas sp. canine oral taxon 015. Its description in RNAcentral is "bacterial SSU rRNA". It matches the Rfam family "Bacterial small subunit ribosomal RNA", at positions 9 to 474 of the family's 1533-position model. The record is from RNAcentral. Lineage: Bacteria; Pseudomonadati; Pseudomonadota; Betaproteobacteria; Burkholderiales; Comamonadaceae.
GAGUUUGAUUAUGGCUCAGAUUGAACGCUGGCGGCAUGCUUUACACAUGCAAGUCGAACGGCAGCACAAGGAGCUUGCUUCUGGGUGGCGAGUGGCGAACGGGUGAGUAAUGUAUCGGAACGUGCCUGGUAGUGGGGGAUAACCACUCGAAAGAGUGGCUAAUACCGCAUGAGAUCUCUGGAUGAAAGCGGGGGACCUUUGGGCCUCGCGCUAUCGGAGCGGCCGAUAUCAGAUUAGGUUGUUGGUGGGGUAAAGGCCUACCAAGCCUGCGAUCUGUAGCUGGUCUGAGAGGACGACCAGCCACACUGGGACUGAGACACGGCCCAGACUCCUACGGGAGGCAGCAGUGGGGAAUUUUGGACAAUGGGCGCAAGCCUGAUCCAGCAAUGCCGCGUGCAGGACGAAGGCCCUCGGGUUGUAAACUGCUUUUGUACAGAACGAAAAGUUCUCUGGCUAAUAUUCUGGGGAACAUGACG